AUAUAUUGCAUAACAUAUAAUAUUUUAUAUUUUUCUCCUCUCUAGAGGAGACAGUUAAGCUGACUUUUUGAGAAGGAUCAAUAUUUUGCCAGGUAGGCAUGUAAGAAAAUUUCCUGCCAGAAGGUGGACAGGAAAGGUUGCCAAGAGGACAAAUGCCCUGGAAAAAACUGUAAAACCCUUCUCAAGACAGACUAGAGGGUGGAAGUGAGGACUCCAAUAGCAGUGGACAAACAUUUCUCUUUCCUCUCAGAUUGCUUGCACCAUGGUGGCCCCUGCCCAGUAGCCUCCUUGGCCUGGCUGCGGGAAGCGUAAAGGCAAGGCUCAGUAUGUGUUGGCCAAGUGGGCGCUGCGAUACCGGCGGGCCCUGUCAGCUAGAGCCCAGGCUACAGGGCAUCCUCAUCACCUGCAACAUGAACAAGCGCAAGUGCGUGGAGGAGGCCUACAGUUUGCUCAACAAAUACAGCGACGACAUGUAUGGGCCAGAAAAGCUUACAGACAAGGAUCAGCACCCCUCUGGAAGUGAGGGAGAAGAUGAUGAUGUGGAGGCUGCCUUGAAGAAAGAAGUUGGUGAUAUUAAGGUAUCUACAGAGAUGAGGCUAAGAAGAUUCCAGUCAGUGGAAAGUGGAGCAAAUAACGUCAUCUUCAUCAGGACACUUGGGAUAGAACCUGAGAAAUUGGUGCAUCAUAUUCUUCAGGAUAUGUACAAAACCAAGAAGAAGAAGACUUGAGUUAUUCUACGAAUGUUACCCAUCUCAGGCACAUGCAAAGCUUUUUUAGAAGAUAUGAAAAAACAUACAGAAACAUUUUUGGAACCCUGGUUUAAAGCUCCGAACAAAGGGACAGUUCAGAUUGUGUACCAAUCUCGAAAUAAUAGUCACAUGAAUAGAGAAGAAGUUAUCAGAGAAUGGGCAGGAAUAGUGGGCACCUUCAAUUCAGAAAAUAAAGUGAAUCUCACCAAUCCACAGUACACGGUGGUAGUAGAAAUCAUCAAAGCUGUCUGUUGCCUGAGUGUUGUGAAAGAUUGCAUGUUGUUGAGAAAAUACAAUCUCCAGGAGGUAGUGAAGAGCCCUAAGGAUCCAUCACAGCUUAACUCAAAGCAGGGAAAUGGGAAAGAAACUAAAUUGGAAGCUGCUGACAUCAGAUCAAAACAACAUAGCAGAAGGAAAAAAUAACCAGCAGGUACCAGAGAAUACUGAGGAGCUGGGGCAGACAAAACCAACGUCUAAUCCGCAGGUGGUGAAUGAGGGAGGAGGCAAACCUGAACUUGCAAGUCAAGCCACAGAAGGACCCAAAUCAAAUGAAAAUGACCUCUCAUAGGAGGUCAUUUGGUGUUGAGGUGGGUUUUCAACUGGGAUUCUGUGAGAUGUUGUGGGGUUCCACCUGAAAUUGUGACUAAAAACAGUUUUUUAUUUGUGUGCUGCAUUAUGCUGUUCUCACAGUAGUGAACAAUGAUUGCGCAGCCCUAUUAACAGUUUUGUUAGGGAUCUUUAGCCCUUCUGGUAUUAUGUAUAGGCAGACCCAUGUGCUACUAUUGCAAAGAGGGGAGGAUGGGAGAAGGGGGAUAUUGGCCUCUCCUAGGCUUCUCUUAUGCAGCUGACUUAUGGGAGUAAACUGACUGUGAAGUAGAAAAUCAGAAGGAAGUUUUCAUUCUAAGGAAGGAGUUUUUACAUGCCACAACUUAGCUGUCCACCUGCCACUUUGUUGUAAACACUGCAAAAAUGUGGAUCAUGUAGGUUAGAACUGAAUUGUUUACUGAAGUUUUUGGACUUUUGUGAUUUUCUUGUUUGGUUAUGUCUGUUUUUAUAUUUUAUUAACAUUGGUGUGUAACAAAGCUGACAGUUCAGUGCUGCAAUUCUGGAAGGCAAGAUAUGAGAAAGGAGAACCAUUUAGGCACAGAGCUACAGACAUUUCUGAAAAAGUUGUUGAUGAAUUUCAGUCUUCUGAGCAUACUUCAGUAUACUAAUAUGACAAAGGACACCAAGAAAUUCUGUCUUUAUAACAAAAGCUACUUCUCAAGGGUUUUAUAUGGACUCAUUCCAAGCUGUCCUGUCUUUGCAAAGACAGGACAUUGUCUGUGGCAUGCAACUUAGAAAACUAGCAGUUGUAAACUAGCAGUUGUAACUAUAAAUCAUAGCCACUUGAGAAGAAAGGAUAUUCAUUAUUUUCAAAUGGCUUUCGGAUUAUCAAAACAGUAAGGCUUUUGUUCAGAAACCACAUUUAGUCAAAAGGUUUAGGAAGCAAAUGAUUUAGUAGCAGAACUUAUCUCAGGAAAGGAGAAUAUGCAUAGUUGGUGAGAAUCUAAUAAUAACAUUAAAAUGCUGGGGCAAAAUGCAGUACAAAAUUGAAAAGACUUUAUUCUCAGUAAGUUGAUUUACCGAUAUUUCAUGUGAUACUAAAAAGAUUUUGUAUAAUUAACUGAAAAGGAGCAGCUUCUCCAUCCAGGAUGAUGGGUCGACAGGUUUCACUAAUAUUUGUCAUGCUGUAGCAUAUGUAAGAUUUGUAAAUGAUGAAAUUCAAAGAAAACUUCUUCUGUUGCUAGGAGCCUGCCAAAACAAAGGCCAGUAUAUAAUGUUGUGACAUCAUAUCUGAUAACCAGAGGUCUGUCAUCUACAUUCUUGGUGCCUUAUCAGUGGUUGUUUCCAUAAGUCAUUUUGCAUUAUUAAAAAAAAAAAAAAUCUUAGGCCAGGUGCGGUGGCUCAAGCCUGUAAUCCCAGCACUUUGGGAGGCUGAGGCGGGUGGAUCAUGAGGUCAAGAGAUCGAGACCAUCCUAGUCAACAUGAUGAAACCCCGUCUCUACUAAAAAUACAAAAAAUUAGCUGGGCAUGGUGGCACGUGCCUGUAAUCCCAGCUACUCAGGAGGCUGAGGCAGUAGAAUUGCUUGAACCCAGGAGGCGGAGGUUGCGGUGAGCCGAGAUCGUGCCAUUGCACUCCAGCCUGGGUAACGAGCAGGAGUGCAUCUCAAAAAAAAAAAAAUCUUGAUGUUGACGUUAUAGCAUACUGCUUUCUUCCCAGAGAUGUUGAUAUCAAAAACUUGAAGAUACAGUGAUGUUCUGAAUAAUGCUACAAAUCUGGUUACCUGUAUCAAAGACCCAUUUAUGCAGAAAUGUUAAAAAACACCCAAAAUGAAAACCUGGACAAACAGCAUAUAAACUUCUUGCACCGUACAGACAUCCAGUGGCCUAUCAGAGGAAGAGUUCUCUACAGGAUAUUUGAGUUGAAAGGUGAAUGCCAGAGUACUUACAAGGAAACAGCUUUUGCUGAGUGCUUUGGAAAUGAAAAAUGACUGCAGGAAGUAGCCAUUUAGUAGACAUUGUUCAUCAUAUGAACAAAUGAACAAGUCUCUGAAAGGUUCUGGGGAAAAAUAGUCUUUCUUAAAGUGACAAGAGUCUUAGAUCUAAAAGGAAACUGACUUGCCACCUUGCCAGAGGAGUUCUUGAACUGUUUCUGUAGUCACUUGGACUUGAAAAUGAAGAGUACAACCCUCAAAUCUUGCUCUAACCCACCUGGAGGAACCACAAAACCCAGUUAAAUAGCAUUUUUUUCUCCUUUUCCCAGCACUAGUAUAUAACUGCAUAUGAAGAACCUUUUCUCUAAAUCUGCUCAGCUUGAAAUUUUGUCUCUGAUGGAAGAGAAUGAACACAGCCCUAGUGGGAACAGUCCUAGGUUUGUGUGAAAUAAGCGUAUUCUUCAACUUCGUGCUCACACUCACAUACAAUGAGGUUUCCCUGCAGGGGUUUCCUGAAUUUGAGUGUUUUCAAGGCCUAUUUUUCGGUAAAGCAAUUGAAAAAGGCAGACACCAACAAAGUCUACAAAAUAAACUGUCCAGAUUAAGAAUAUUAAGGAGCUGUAAAGUUAGCUUGUGGAAAUAGGCUUAUCCUUAAGUUUUAAAAAGUUAGGAACUAGUAAAAAUGUUAGGCUUCCUGCACAAGUUGCUAUGUUUACUUAAUGGCUAGUGAACAUUGGAAUAUAUUUUUAUCCUCCAAACUAGUGGUUCUGUUUGGGAAAUGAGACUAGAAUGAUUUGAGAGGGGCAAAGAUAAUAGGCAGGACUUUCCUUCUAUAGCUUUAUAUAUUCAGAAUGUUAAUGAUGUUGAAGUUACCUUGAAAGGAUUGAUAAGACUAUUCUUUUUUUUUUUUUUUUUUUUUUUUUAACGCCCGUUCCCCACCUUCAAUAAGAGGAUUCUUAAUAUCAUUUAGGAGAAUAGGGAGGAUAGGAUUUUGGUGCCUUCUCCAGCAGACUUGCUCUACGACAAAAAUUCUUUUGAUAGUGCAAGACAAAAGGACUUAGGAAAAAAUUGGCCAUAUGCCUACAUACAACUCUGUGGAACUAAGUUGUUUUUACUUUGUGAAAGCUGCUACUCUAUGGAAAGAUUUUGAUUUUAUAGUUUGUUUUUAAUUGCCUUUUAUAUUUAUUUGCAUUUGGUAAGGCUCGGUAGUUAUACAGGCUGUUCUUUCCCGGCUACAAAAUCCUGUGUUUGGUUGUAACGUGAACUCAUUAAAAGAUUUGUUUUCAGGUUUAUCAACUGUUUAUUUUCACUGACAUUUGAACAUGUUAUUUUAUAAAUGAUGAGGUUCCAGGGUAGGAACUGAGUGCUUUUUAUUCCCCUUUUUUUCUUUUAAAAAAUUAUGUCAGUUAAAAACACAAAAACUGCCGUCUGUGGUUUAUAAAACUUGUUCAGCUUCAUAGAGGAGAGUGCUAAACUUUGUAUUUUAAAACAUGUUUAUCUAAGGUUAAACAUAGUUUUCCAAUGUUAUUUUUAAUUUGUAUUUUGCUUUUGGUACGGCCAAAUAUCGAGCUUGUUUUUCAUAUUUCCUGAUAUUUUCAGAAAAAUGAAAAUAAAUUUGUUCCCUACAAAAAAAAAAAAAAAAAAGAAAGACUAGAAAAUAUCUCAUCUGAAAAUACUUGGUGUUGGAGGUGGAACCUA
This is a non-coding RNA of Callithrix jacchus (white-tufted-ear marmoset), 4924 nucleotides long. The record is from RefSeq and is a predicted model, not a curated record. NCBI's taxonomy places the organism in Eukaryota, Metazoa, Chordata, Mammalia, Primates, Cebidae.